RNAcentral lists this small RNA (1431 nucleotides) under Pan troglodytes (chimpanzee). Its description in RNAcentral is "retained intron". Lineage: Eukaryota; Metazoa; Chordata; Mammalia; Primates; Hominidae. The record is from RNAcentral.
CUGUUUCUGUCUUGAACCUGAUUCUUUCUUCUUAUCUCCUUCCUGUGUCCACCUCAAGACUCCCACCACUACCCAGGACCAACUCCUGCUCCUGAAUCUUCUGAUGGGCCCCACAAGGUGACAGUGCUGGCUACAAUGCUAUCCAGCCGGUGGUGGCCAAGUUCCUGGGGGAUCCUAGGGCUGGGCCCCCGAAGCCCUCCUCGGGGAUCCCAGCUCUGUGCCCUCUAUGCCUUUACUUAUACUGGGGCAGAUGGCCAGCAGGUGUCUCUGGCUGAAGGGGACAGGUUCCUACUGCUUCGAAAGACCAACUCCGACUGGUGGUUGGCAAGACGCCUAGAAGCUCCCUCCACCUCUCGACCCAUCUUCGUCCCAGCAGCCUAUAUGAUAGAGGAAUCCAUCCCUUCCCAGAGUCCAACUACCGUCAUCCCCGGCCAAUUGCUCUGGACUCCUGGGCCGAAGUUGUUUCAUGGUUCCCUGGAGGAGUUUUCUCAGGCCCUCCCAAGCAGGGCUCAGGCUAGCUCGGAGCAGCCUCCUCCACUUCCCCCCAAAAUGUGUAGGAGCGUCAGCACUGACAAUCUGAGCCCCAGCCUUCUGAAGCCUUUCCAGGAAGGACCAAGCGGAAGAUCCCUCUCCCAGGAAGACUUGCCGUCAGAAGCCAGUGCCAGCACAGCAGGCCCCCAGCCCCUCAUGUCAGAGCCCCCUGUGUACUGUAACCUGGUGGACCUUCGCCGCUGUCCUCGGUCCCCACCCCCAGGCCCUGCAUGCCCCCUGCUGCAGAGGCUGGAUGCCUGGGAGCAGCACCUGGACCCCAACUCUGGACGCUGCUUCUACAUAAAUUCACUGACUGGCUGCAAGUCCUGGAAGCCCCCGCGCCGCAGUCGCAGCGAGACGAACCCUGGCUCCAUGGAGGGGACACAGACCCUGAAGAGGAACAAUGAUGUCCUGCAACCUCAGGCAAAGGGCUUCAGAUCUGACACAGGGACCCCAGAACCGCUUGACCCACAGGUGAGAUCCCUCCCAUCUCCCAGUCAUAUGCAGAAAAAGCCAGCUUGUUAUGACUUUCUGUUUUGUGUAAGACAUUCUCCAUUCCCCACCACACCCCCCACCUCUCACCCGUAUCCCACCCCUCUUCCUCCUUCAGCCAGGGAUCCCUGAGUCGAGCGUUUCCCCACCUGUUUCUCCAAUCCUCCCCCCUAGGGUUCACUCAGCCUCAGCCAACGCACCUCGCAGCUUGACCCUCCAGCCUUGCAGGCCCCUCGACCUCUGCCGCAGCUCCUGGACGACCCCCAUGUGAAUCUCCCAUUUCUUUGUGAAGGCCAAGACCCUCCCUGCCCCCCCUCCCCCCUUUUCCUGCUCCACAUAAACAUCUUCCUCUUUCUGAAUAUCCUCUUACCCAGCCCUCCCCCAGCAACUUUAAGGGACUUCACUCCU